UGGGGAAUAUUGGACAAUGGGCGAAAGCCUGAUCCAGCAAUGCCGCGUGGGUGAAGAAGGUCUUCGGAUUGUAAAGCCCUUUCGGCGGGGACGAUGAUGACGGUACCCGCAGAAGAAGCCCCGGCUAACUUCGUGCCAGCAGCCGCGGUAAUACGAAGGGGGCUAGCGUUGCUCGGAAUGACUGGGCGUAAAGGGCGCGUAGGCGGUUUGUACAGUCGGGCGUGAAAUUCCUGGGCUCAACCCAGGGGCUGCACUCGAUACGUACGGACUGGAGUGGGGAAGAGGGUCGUGGAAUUCCCAGUGUAGAGGUGAAAUUCGUAGAUAUUGGGAAGAACACCGGUGGCGAAGGCGGCGACCUGGUCCUUGACUGACGCUGAGGCGCGAAAGCGUGGGGAGCAAACAGG
Molecule: ribosomal RNA, 404 nt
Filed under: uncultured Acetobacteraceae bacterium
Lineage: Bacteria; Pseudomonadati; Pseudomonadota; Alphaproteobacteria; Acetobacterales; Acetobacteraceae
Description: bacterial SSU rRNA
Rfam family: Bacterial small subunit ribosomal RNA
Source: RNAcentral